Molecule: small nuclear RNA, 106 nt
Organism: Homo sapiens (human)
Lineage: Eukaryota; Metazoa; Chordata; Mammalia; Primates; Hominidae
Source: Ensembl
AUAAAAGCAGAUCCAUUAUAAAUAUAAAAGAAGAAUGAUACAGAGAAGAUCAGCAUGGUCCCUGAGCAAGGAUGAUACAUGAAUUCAUGAAGCUUUCCAUAUUUUU